This 449-nucleotide ribosomal RNA is filed under the name uncultured bacterium. RNAcentral's name for it is "partial 16S ribosomal RNA". It matches the Rfam family "Bacterial small subunit ribosomal RNA", at positions 29 to 523 of the family's 1533-position model. The record is from RNAcentral.
AACGAACGCUGGCGGCAGGCCUAACACAUGCAAGUCGAACGCUGUAGCAAUACAGAGUGGCAGACGGGUGAGUAACGCGUGGGAACCUUCCCAAUGGUACGGAAUAGCUCAGGGAAACUUGAGGUAAUACCGUAUAAGCCCCUAGGGGGAAAGAUUUAUCGCCAUUGGAUGGGCCCGCGUCGGAUUAGCUAGUUGGUAGGGUAAUGGCCUACCAAGGCAACGAUCCGUAGCUGGUUUGAGAGAAUGACCAGCCACACUGGGACUGAGACACGGCCCAGACUCCUAAGGGAGGCAGCAGUGGGGAAUCUUGGACAAUGGGCGAAAGCCUGAUCCAGCCAUGCCGCGUGAGUGACGAAGGCCUUAGGGUUGUAAAGCUCUUUUGCCGGGGACGAUAAUGACGGUACCCGGAGAAUAAGUCCCGGCUAACUUCGUGCCAGCAGCCGCCGUAA